UACGAAGGGGGGCUAGCGUUGCUCGGAAUUACUGGGCGUAAAGGGCGCGUAGGCGGAUCGUUAAGUCAGAGGUGAAAGCCCAGGGCUCAACCCUGGAAUUGCCUUUGAUACUGGCGAUCUUGAGUACGGGAGAGGUGUGUGGAACUCCGAGUGUAGAGGUGAAAUUCGUAGAUAUUCGGAAGAACACCAGUGGCGAAGGCGGCUCACUGGCCCGGUACUGACGCCUGAGGUGCGAAAGCGUGGGGAGCAAACAGG
RNAcentral lists this ribosomal RNA (255 nucleotides) under uncultured bacterium. Its description in RNAcentral is "partial 16S ribosomal RNA". It matches the Rfam family "Bacterial small subunit ribosomal RNA", at positions 524 to 776 of the family's 1533-position model. The record is from RNAcentral.